Molecule: long non-coding RNA, 3133 nt
Filed under: Homo sapiens (human)
Lineage: Eukaryota; Metazoa; Chordata; Mammalia; Primates; Hominidae
Description: long non-coding RNA NONHSAT177585.1
Source: RNAcentral
CCCCAAGAAGAUGCAGACUAAGAAAUGCCAAUGCUUUGAUGGGUACAAGGAAGAAAUAGGACUAAGACAAGACAAAUAAUGGAGGACUUACAUGGCAGAGGUAAAUCACCCACAUCUCUUUCUCCAACUCCUUAUGCUCGAUGCUCAGCAUUGAAGCCCUUUACCCCAGGGACAAAUACAAGUUUGACAAAGCCAUCUGAGGAAAAACAGGCAACAAGGAGAAGUGCAGAGACAAGGUGGGGAAAGCCCCUUACAAAACCAUCAGAUCUCGUGAGAACUCAUCCACAUCACAAGAACAGCAUGAAGAAACGGAACAAGGGGAAUGCAAUCUCACAGGAUGGAAAUAACCUGUGGUGAAUUGUUGCCAUCCAGAUCCACUUUUAAGUCCACAUGGUUCAUUCAUUUUGGACUAGAUCCUGGUACAGCCCAGUGAACUGAUAUUCUUGAAAUCAGGCACAGAGGCUCUGAAGUAAUGCAUUACAUUUGCAUCCAUGAUUUGCUUAAAAUGUUCCAUUUAGCCUUUCCUCCCAGGAAACAAAGCCAGCAGUAUUUGAUUAUUGAAUAGCUCGUUUUGGAUGCUUAGUUUGAGAAGAUUUUAUUAAGAUUAUGGGAAACUUGAAUUUUACAAAAUGAAUCAUGAGUUAUAUUUCAGUUUUGAUUUGUCUCCAAGGGUUGAAAUACAUAGAAGUCUAGGAUACAUUAUAUAUUAGCUCUAUUUUAGCAUGCAUUUAAUGCAAUCACAGGCAAAAAUCAAAUGCUUUAAAGAAAAAGAUUGCAGUUUUAGAAAUGAAGGAUGUGAAAAAGGACGAAUCUAUAUAAAUAAAAGUGAACUUAGAGUAAUAACAUGCAAUAUAGUCUAUGUAGAUAUGCAUAUUUUAAUUGUAUAUUACUAUUUGUCCCAUCACAAUAAUUGGUUUAAACAAUGGUGUAUUUAUAUGUGUAAAACAAAGUUUGGUAUGUGUGUGCACACAUAUACACACAGAAACACACACACACACUUUUCUAAUCAACUAACAUUUAAGAAAUACCACUGAAGGAAAUAUUAAUGACAGAAAGAGCUUUUCUGCACACAGAAAAGCACGCACACUCCUAUGCAGCAUACAAAUAGGUAAGAGUACAUGUUUUCCCUGAAAGAAGAGCAAGAGACCAACGGAAUAAGCCCCUUUACUGGGUUCCCAUAUGGCUGAAUGGUCUCAAUAUCUCAAUCUUUAGAACAUACCUCAGCAUCUCCACAUCUCCUCCUACCUCUGUCCUGUGUUGCUGGGACACAGGGGCAGGAAAUGGAUGCAUCCCUUCCCAUGCACGCCCAAACAGCUCCUCAACUCAAUCUCAGCCCCAUGCCUCUUCUAUUCUUCUGUGAGGAAGUGGCUUCUCAUGACCUAUCCGAGAGCUCAGCACAUGUUAAGUUCUCACACAGGCUUAAGCCAACAUAAUCGUCAACAUUAAAAAGUAACAACAUAAUAUUUGGGCGGAUGAUGUUUUCUGUUCAUAAUCAACAGUGACUUCUCAGAGUGGCCUUUUCUGACCUCUCUAUCUAAAUAGUACUUUACGUUUUCUCUAUCCCCUCCCUAAAUUACUCUGGUUCAUUUUUUGUCAAAGAAUUUUUACUGCUGAAUAGUGUCAUAGACCUAUUCAUUUAUUUAUUUUCUCACUCUUCCCAGUAAAAUAUAAGAUGCGUGGAGAAGAAGUUUGUUUUGUUCCCCUCUGCCAUAUGGGAAAGAACAGUGGUGGAAUUUAGUAGAUGCUCAAUAAAUAUUUGUUGAUUUAAUAAAAAAAUUCAUUUGUUGGGUUUCUUAAGUUGGCUUAUCCCAGAUGCAGAUCCAAAGCCGAGGAUGGAGUUGCAAGUGAUGCAUUAAGGAUGUGUUUCCAGGAGCAUCCAGAAAGGAGACAGGGACAUGGAGCAGGACAGGAAAGGCGAAGGAAGCAAGAGUUUCAUUUUAGGUGGACACAGGUAGUUCUCAUGAGAAGACCUGAGAUGUAAAUUUCAACUCUAAGUUUUUCACCUGGAAGCAAAGGAACUAUACUUCCCACCAAAAAAUACCUAAUUACUCGGAGCCCCUGAUUGGGAGGGAGGUAGUAAACUUUCCCUCCUAGUUUGUUGUUGCCACACACCUCACUUAAUUUUCUUGAACCACUUCGCUCUUUAGAUGGUGACAAUUAACUAAGUUGAGCAACUAAUGUUUCAAAAAGAUAGAGGGUCCCCUAUUUUCCUAUUAAAUAAAGCAUAUACUUUAAAGUGGCCUAAUUUUUACACAGUGUCAUCCGGUCUGUGAAGCACUGUCAUAUGUAGUACUGAUAUCCUUUGAUUCUCAAAACAACCCUUUAAGCUAGAAGUAAAAAUGUUCUUUCUUUCUCUUGCCACAUUUUGAAAAACUGAGAUCCAGAUAGGUUAAGUUUUAGUAGUUGAGCCAAGAUUAAAAAAGGAGCUUGAUUGCAGAAAUUAUUUAUGUUCUUACUGCUAUACCAAGCUGUCACACAAAGAGAUUAUUCUGCCUUUAUUUUCUUAAUCACUAAGAUUCUAAAAAUAAAAAAACUCCAGGCCAAGUAAGUGGGGAAGAAGAAAUCAAACCAGAUUAAUGAGGGAAAUGUUAACGACAGAAAGAGCUUGGAGGCUCUCCAAUCACAUUGAGCAGGGGCUGCUGAUUCCAUCUGUGCUGAAGAAUAGUGUGACACUGCGCCACCCCCAUGCUACCCGCCCCUCUGUUUAGUCCCUCAUACUUACCAUGUGAGUUGUCUUUAUUCCAUUGAAUCCUACUCUAAAUUCUGCAUUUUAAGAUUUUCAAGAUUUCACUAAUGGAAAAGAAUUUGAAAAAUAACAUUUGAAGAAUGGUAGUGGGCUUUAAUAGUCAAUGAAGAGUGAAAAGAAGUAUUUGUUUGGACAAAAACCGAAUCCAGAAAACAGCUGAUGACCUACAUACUAGCUGGAAUGACUUUGCCUUCAGGUUAUAAAAGCACUUUGUAUCUAUUUAUUUGUCUGGCUACUGUGAAAAUAAACACUUCUAUGCAAUCAAAAUCUGAACUUCUGAAAAAUAAAGUUUUUUAACACCUAAGUAUGUUGGCACUUCACAGGUAUAAAUACUGAUGUUUUUUGGAACUCUUCUUUCGUAUUUAAAUAUGAGAGGUCACAGUAAAA